Molecule: ribosomal RNA, 569 nt
Filed under: Niallia circulans
Lineage: Bacteria; Bacillati; Bacillota; Bacilli; Caryophanales; Bacillaceae
Description: bacterial SSU rRNA
Rfam family: Bacterial small subunit ribosomal RNA
Source: RNAcentral
GGCGGACGGGUGAGUAACACGUGGGCAACCUGCCUGUAAGACUGGGAUAACUUCGGGAAACCGGAGCUAAUACCGGAUAAUCCUUUUCCUCUCAUGAGGAAAAGCUGAAAGACGGUUUACGCUGUCACUUACAGAUGGGCCCGCGGCGCAUUAGCUAGUUGGUGAGGUAACGGCUCACCAAGGCGACGAUGCGUAGCCGACCUGAGAGGGUGAUCGGCCACACUGGGACUGAGACACGGCCCAGACUCCUACGGGAGGCAGCAGUAGGGAAUCUUCCGCAAUGGACGAAAGUCUGACGGAGCAACGCCGCGUGAGUGAUGAAGGUUUUCGGAUCGUAAAACUCUGUUGUUAGGGAAGAACAAGUACAAGAGUAACUGCUUGUACCUUGACGGUACCUAACCAGAAAGCCACGGCUAACUACGUGCCAGCAGCCGCGGUAAUACGUAGGUGGCAAGCGUUGUCCGGAAUUAUUGGGCGUAAAGCGCGCGCAGGCGGGUCCUUUAAGUCUGAUGUGAAAGCCCACGGCUCAACCGUGGAGGGUCAUUGGAAACUGGGGGGACUUUGAGUGC